RNAcentral lists this ribosomal RNA (448 nucleotides) under Escherichia coli. RNAcentral describes it as "bacterial SSU rRNA". It matches the Rfam family "Bacterial small subunit ribosomal RNA", at positions 523 to 970 of the family's 1533-position model. The record is from RNAcentral. Lineage: Bacteria; Pseudomonadati; Pseudomonadota; Gammaproteobacteria; Enterobacterales; Enterobacteriaceae.
AUACGGAGGGUGCAAGCGUUAAUCGGAAUUACUGGGCGUAAAGCGCACGCAGGCGGUUUGUUAAGUCAGAUGUGAAAUCCCCGGGCUCAACCUGGGAACUGCAUCUGAUACUGGCAAGCUUGAGUCUCGUAGAGGGGGGUAGAAUUCCAGGUGUAGCGGUGAAAUGCGUAGAGAUCUGGAGGAAUACCGGUGGCGAAGGCGGCCCCCUGGACGAAGACUGACGCUCAGGUGCGAAAGCGUGGGGAGCAAACAGGAUUAGAUACCCUGGUAGUCCACGCCGUAAACGAUGUCGACUUGGAGGUUGUGCCCUUGAGGCGUGGCUUCCGGAGCUAACGCGUUAAGUCGACCGCCUGGGGAGUACGGCCGCAAGGUUAAAACUCAAAUGAAUUGACGGGGGCCCGCACAAGCGGUGGAGCAUGUGGUUUAAUUCGAUGCAACGCGAAGAACC